UACGUAGGGUGCAAGCGUUGUCCGGAAUUAUUGGGCGUAAAGAGCUCGUAGGCGGUCUGUCGCGUCUGCUGUGAAAACUCGGGGCUUAACCCCGGGCCUGCAGUGGGUACGGGCAGACUAGAGUGCGGUAGGGGAGACUGGAAUUCCUGGUGUAGCGGUGGAAUGCGCAGAUAUCAGGAGGAACACCGGUGGCGAAGGCGGGUCUCUGGGCCGUUACUGACGCUGAGGAGCGAAAGCGUGGGGAGCGAACAGG
Molecule: ribosomal RNA, 253 nt
Filed under: uncultured bacterium
Lineage: Bacteria
Description: partial 16S ribosomal RNA
Rfam family: Bacterial small subunit ribosomal RNA
Source: RNAcentral